This 200-nucleotide ribosomal RNA is filed under the name uncultured bacterium. Its description in RNAcentral is "partial 16S ribosomal RNA". It matches the Rfam family "Bacterial small subunit ribosomal RNA", at positions 8 to 205 of the family's 1533-position model. The record is from RNAcentral.
AGAGUUUGAUCCUGGCUCAGGACGAACGCUGGCGGCGUGCCUAAUACAUGCAAGUCGAGCGGACUUGUAGGAGCUUGCUCCUACAAGUUAGCGGCGGACGGGUGAGUAACACGUGGGCAACCUGCCUGUAAGACUGGGAUAACUUCGGGAAACCGGAGCUAAUACCGGAUAGGUUUUCGGUCGCAUGAACCGGAAUGGAA